CUCUACUCCGUGACCCGGUGUUCAACAUCCGUGUUCGAAUUCUGGGAAAUUUUUUUUUUUCUUUUUCCUUUUUAUCGGUACCGGGGAUCGAACUCACGACCACCUGCUUGCAAGGCAGGUGCUUAUGCCGCUGAGCUAAAUCCCCAGCCCGGGAAAUUUUUAAUUACACCUAGGAGCAAAUGUGUGUAAAAGCUGGAAGGAAAGGAAAAACGUCCCAAGAAAAAGAGGAAAAAUGUCAUGGUUUUGGGGGACGCCUGGGAGGAGGAACCCCAAGUCUCAACCACAGACCAGAGGUAGCAGUUGGGUAACAGGACCUUCAAGACAAG
RNAcentral lists this long non-coding RNA (326 nucleotides) under Cavia porcellus (domestic guinea pig). RNAcentral describes it as "lncRNA (ENSCPOG00000036423.1)". The record is from RNAcentral. Lineage: Eukaryota; Metazoa; Chordata; Mammalia; Rodentia; Caviidae.